UGGGGAAUUUUGGACAAUGGGCGAAAGCCUGAUCCAGUAAUGCCGCGUGUGUGAAGAAGGCCUUCGGGUCGUAAAGCACUUUUGUCCGGAAAGAAAUGGCUCUGGUUAAUACCUGGGGUCGAUGGCGGUACCGGAAGAAUAAGGACCGGCUAACUACGUGCCAGCAGCCGCGGUAAUACGUAGGGUCCAAGCGUUAAUCGGAAUUACUGGGCGUAAAGCGUGCGCAGGCGGUUGUGCAAGACCGAUGUGAAAUCCCCGAGCUUAACUUGGGAAUUGCAUUGGUGACUGCACGGCUAGAGUGUGUCAGAGGGGGGUAGAAUUCCACGUGUAGCAGUGAAAUGCGUAGAGAUGUGGAGGAAUACCGAUGGCGAAGGCAGCCCCCUGGGAUAACACUGACGCUCAUGCACGAAAGCGUGGGGAGCAAAC
This 426-nucleotide ribosomal RNA is filed under the name uncultured bacterium. Its description in RNAcentral is "bacterial SSU rRNA". It matches the Rfam family "Bacterial small subunit ribosomal RNA", at positions 355 to 773 of the family's 1533-position model. The record is from RNAcentral.